This 253-nucleotide ribosomal RNA is filed under the name uncultured bacterium. Its description in RNAcentral is "partial 16S ribosomal RNA". It matches the Rfam family "Bacterial small subunit ribosomal RNA", at positions 524 to 776 of the family's 1533-position model. The record is from RNAcentral.
UACGUAGGGUGCAAGCGUUGUCCGGAAUUAUUGGGCGUAAAGAGCUCGUAGGCGGUUUGUCGCGUCUGCUGUGAAAACUCGGGGCUUAACCCAGAGCCUGCAUUCAAUACUGACAGGCUAGAGUUCUGGAGGGGAUAGCGGAAUUCCUGGUGUAGCGGUGAAAUGCGUAGAUAUCAGGAGGAACACCGGUGGCGAAGGCGGCUAUCUGGACAGAGUCUGACGCUGAGGCGCGAAAGCUAGGGGAGCAAACAGG